Molecule: ribosomal RNA, 717 nt
Filed under: uncultured crenarchaeote
Lineage: Archaea; Thermoproteati; Thermoproteota
Description: bacterial SSU rRNA
Rfam family: Archaeal small subunit ribosomal RNA
Source: RNAcentral
CGGUGAGGGAUGAAAGGUGGGGGAGCAAACCGGAUUAGAUACCCCGGUAGUCCCAGCUGUAAACUAUGCAAACUCGGUGAUGCAUUGGCUUGAUGCCAAUGCAGUGCCGCAGGGAAGCCGUUAAGUUUGCCGCCUGGGAAGUACGUACGCAAGUAUGAAACUUAAAGGAAUUGGCGGGGGAGCACCACAAGGGGUGAAGCCUGCGGUUCAAUUGGAGUCAACGCCAGAAAUCUUACCCGGAGAGACAGCAGAAUGAAGGUCAAGCUGAAGACUUUACCAGACAAGCUGAGAGGUGGUGCAUGGCCGUCGCCAGCUCGUGCCGUGAGAUGUCCUGUUAAGUCAGGUAACGAGCGAGAUCCCUGCCUCUAGUUGCCACCAUUACUCUCAGGAGUAGUGGGGCGAAUUAGCGGGACCGCCGUAGUUAAUACGGAGGAAGGAAGGGGCCACGGCAGGUCAGUAUGCCCCGAAACUCUGGGGCCACACGCGGGCUGCAAUGGUAACGACAAUGUGUUCCGAAUCCGAAAGGAGGAGGUAAUCCAGAAACGUUACCACAGUUAUGACUGAGGGCUGCAACUCGCCCUCACGAAUAUGGAAUCCCUAGUAACUGCGUGUCAUUAUCGCGCGGUGAAUACGUCCCUGCUCCUUGCACACACCGCCCGUCGUUUCAUUGAAGUUUGCUUUAGCGAGGUGACGUCAUUUUGGCGUUAUCGAAUUUGA